RNAcentral lists this ribosomal RNA (216 nucleotides) under Glomeromycotina sp. Its description in RNAcentral is "partial small subunit ribosomal RNA". The stretch from base 40 to 216 matches the Rfam family "Eukaryotic small subunit ribosomal RNA", at positions 686 to 864 of the family's 1831-position model. The record is from RNAcentral. Lineage: Eukaryota; Fungi; Glomeromycota.
GGGUCAGUAGGUUGGUCGUGCCACCGGUACGUACUGGUCUCACUGAUUCCUCCUUCCUGAAGGACCGUAAUGCCAUUAAUUUGGUGUUGCGGGGUAACAGGACUGUUACUUUGAAAAAAUUAGAGUGUUUAAAGCAAGCUAACGCUUGAAUACAUUAGCAUGGAAUAAUGAAAUAGGACGAUCGAUCCUACUUUGUUGGUUUCUAGGAUUGACGUA